RNAcentral lists this ribosomal RNA (253 nucleotides) under uncultured bacterium. RNAcentral's name for it is "partial 16S ribosomal RNA". It matches the Rfam family "Bacterial small subunit ribosomal RNA", at positions 524 to 776 of the family's 1533-position model. The record is from RNAcentral.
UACGUAGGGAGCAAGCGUUGUCCGGAAUCAUUGGGCGUAAAGCGCGCGUAGGCGGCCCGGUAAGUCCGUUGUAAAAGUCGAAGGCUCAACCUUCGAAAGCCGAUGGAUACUGCCGGGCUAGAGUUCGGGAGAGGCGAGUGGAAUUCCUGGUGUAGCGGUGGAAUGCGCAGAUAUCAGGAGGAACACCGAUAGCGAAGGCAGCACGCUGGUACGACACUGACGCUAAGGCGCGAAAGCGUGGGGAGCGAACAGG